GCCGAAAUAGCUCAAUUGGUAGAGCAACUGUUUUGUAAGCAGUAGGUUGUGAGUUCAAUUCUUACUUUCGGCACCA
Molecule: transfer RNA, 76 nt
Filed under: Bacteriophage sp.
Description: tRNA-Thr
Rfam family: tRNA
About the family: Transfer RNA (tRNA) molecules are approximately 80 nucleotides in length. Their secondary structure includes four short double-helical elements and three loops (D, anti-codon, and T loops).
Source: RNAcentral